This 482-nucleotide ribosomal RNA is filed under the name uncultured bacterium. RNAcentral describes it as "partial 16S ribosomal RNA". It matches the Rfam family "Bacterial small subunit ribosomal RNA", at positions 30 to 507 of the family's 1533-position model. The record is from RNAcentral.
AUUGAACGCUGGCGGCAUGCCUUACACAUGCAAGUCGAACGGUAACAGGUCUUCGGAUGCUGACGAGUGGCGAACGGGUGAGUAAUACAUCGGAACGUGCCCGAUCGUGGGGGAUAACGGAGCGAAAGCUUUGCUAAUACCGCAUACGAUCUACGGAUGAAAGCAGGGGACCGCAAGGCCUUGCGCGGACGGAGCGGCCGAUGGCAGAUUAGGUAGUUGGUGGGAUAAAAGCUUACCAAGCCGACGAUCUGUAGCUGGUCUGAGAGGACGACCAGCCACACUGGGACUGAGACACGGCCCAGACUCCUACGGGAGGCAGCAGUGGGGAAUUUUGGACAAUGGGCGAAAGCCUGAUCCAGCCAUGCCGCGUGCAGGAUGAAGGCCUUUGGGUUGUAAACUGCUUUUGUACGGAACGAAAAGACUCUUUCUAAUAAAGAGGGUCCAUGACGGUACCGUAAGAAUAAGCACCGGCUAACUACGUG